AGCUUGCCGACGCGCGCACGGAAAGCGUAAAAAACAGUCGGCAAGACUCUACGAGACAUAAAUAUCGUUUCUAUUGGUGGGCAGCGGCCGCACGUGGUCUCUCGCGGCUUGUUGUCGAGACAAUCAAAACAAUAAGAAAACAGUAGGAGACGGCACACGGCUCACUAUAGGAAGCACUCGAGAAAUCGAGAUCUAUAUUGCGAAAAGU
This is a non-coding RNA of Caenorhabditis elegans, 208 nucleotides long. NCBI's taxonomy places the organism in Eukaryota, Metazoa, Nematoda, Chromadorea, Rhabditida, Rhabditidae. The record is from Ensembl.